Long non-coding RNA from Poecilia latipinna (sailfin molly), 1784 nucleotides. RefSeq lists it as uncharacterized. The record is from RefSeq and is a predicted model, not a curated record. Lineage: Eukaryota; Metazoa; Chordata; Actinopteri; Cyprinodontiformes; Poeciliidae. The transcript has 2 exons.
UACACAAAUUGCCUCCGGCCAAGAAGAUGUGAAUCAUUUCUGUUGGGAUCCGGUGAAUCAUUGCAAAAUUUGAAAACCCAAAAUGUCCAAUUGGAAAGAAACGAGUUGCAUAAAAUAUGAUCAGUAGGGGUGCCAAGAAAGGCAGAACUGUUGCUUUUUGUACAAUCAUUUCCUAAUGCUGAAUUGUUUUCCCAACUGAAUUAGUGCACUCUAAUUAAAUGCUACAUUUUCUAAAUGAUGCGGUAGAUUAUGCCUGUGCAUUAAAACAAGACUUCUAAAGGCUUUAAUACACAUAUUUACUACGGAAGUUGCUAUAAUCAUAUGGAGGUUCAGAAUGUUUCAUUAAUUUAUUUAUUUUGUAUGUCAUGUGGCAUGCAAAUAAUACAUUUGGUAAAUUGGAUAGACUUUCACUACUACUAAUGCUAAUAUACCCUCUUUGAUUUCAGAGCCUCAGACAAUAAAUGUCAUGGAGAACAGUGGAGCCAUAUUGAUAAUAGAAAUGAAGAAAUGCAGCUCAGAUGGUACCUGCCCCCUCAAGCCAUCUGAGCAGUGUAGACAUCUGUGAGCUGCAACCUGCCAAGAACAAGCCUAAUGUAAAAAUAUCAAAAAAUAUUCUGAAAUGGAAAGACGGCUGGAGGGUCAUUUGGACAAACUGCAGUGAAAAGCCUUCAUGUCAAGAAUGAGCUGUGUUUUUUUCCUCUGUCCCUGUCUAAAGGAAAAUGUACACUGCCAGGUCUCGAAUUUAUGGGUUUUUCUAUGACUGCUCUGCGAAGCAGCUCUGAAAAGCUGUCAAGGCAAGAAACCUGUGGAAAGAGCACUUGUUAGCAGACGCCAAUAUCCAGCUGCCAUUUGAAAACGAGUUGCAUUUGUGAGGAACGUUUUUGUUGACAUCACAAAGUGUCCAUCAAAAUUGGAAGAUGUCAAAACACUGUACUGCAUAAUUCAUCACAACAGCUACAAGCCUUAAUUUAAUUUAUUUCGAUCCAGAAUGAAAUGAUUUUUUUUAUUUUUGUUUAGAAAAAUAUUUAUAGUUCUGUGGAUGUAUGGACCAUAAAGAAGUGCUCACUUCUUUAAGGUUUUCUUUGAAUAUCAUCUUGUGAUGUUUUAAAGAGAUGUUGAUUAAUUUUUAAUGCAUUACUGAUAUUCAAUGGAGAAACAAACCAUUUUCAGAGGAAUAUUUAACUCUAAGAAAGAUAUCGCUUGUUCUCAUUUGUUCAGGGUUACCUUUAAAAAUUCUAAGAAUAAUGCCAUAAUGUUUUGUCAGUUGAAGUUGGACCCAAACGCAGAGAUACUGAGGUGGCAAAUGAAUUAGAAAGUUUAAUGAAAACAAACUUAAAAAGAUAACAUGUAACCAGGUCAGGAAUGGAUAAAAAAUCCAAGUAAAGAAACCAGCAUGGAGACACAAGGAGAACUAGGGAAAGUGACACGGGUAAACGAGAGGAUCUGACAAGGAGUGGCUGAAAAUGAGAAGCUUAAAUACUGGGAGGUUGAAUGCUGAGACAAAGGACCUAGGGUGAUGAGUUAAAGGGUUGCAGGUGAGAGUGAAGGGAACAGGAAGCAGACUGAGGAGAGGGAGAGAAAGAGAAUGGCACAGGGGCGAGAGAGAGAUUACACAGGGAACUAGGAAAUAAGUCCAACUCAAAAGAAUAUAACUAUACUAAAGAAACAUAUUAAAACUAGAGAAGCUAAAAAUAACUAGAAACAGAAAUAAACAUAAUUAGAGACAUUAAGAAGAACUGAACUAAAGCUAAACAGAAACAAGAUUGAGUUAAAUAAAAGAGGAA